This 305-nucleotide unclassified non-coding RNA is filed under the name plant metagenome. RNAcentral describes it as "partial contains 5.8S ribosomal RNA, internal transcribed spacer 2, and large subunit ribosomal RNA". The stretch from base 1 to 105 matches the Rfam family "5.8S ribosomal RNA", at positions 50 to 154 of the family's 154-position model. The record is from RNAcentral.
GAAAUGCGAUAAGUAAUGUGAAUUGCAUAAUUCAGUGAAUCAUCGAAUCUUUGAACGCACAUUGCGCCCGCCAGUAUUCUGGCGGGCAUGCCUGUUCGAGCGUCAUUUCAACCAUCAAGCCCCCGGCUUGUGUUGGGGACCUGCGGCUGCCCGCAGGCCCUGAAAAACAGUGGCGGGCUCGCUGUCACACCGAGCGUAGUAGCAUACAUUCUCGCUCAGGGCGUGCUGCGGGUUCCGGCCGUUAAACGACCUUCAUAACCCAAGGUUGACCUCGGAUCAGGUAGGAAGACCCGCUGAACUUAAGC